Molecule: non-coding RNA, 190 nt
Organism: Oryza meridionalis
Lineage: Eukaryota; Viridiplantae; Streptophyta; Magnoliopsida; Poales; Poaceae
Source: Rfam
AAAAAGGCAAACAAUGAAUUGCCGUGCCAACGUUUGACUGUCCGUCUUAUAUGAAAUUUUUAUAUAAUUAGUAUUUUCAUUGUUGUUAGACGAUAAAACAUGAUUAAUACUUUAUGCGUGACUUAUCUUUUUAAUUUUUUUCAUAAUUUUUUUAAAUAAGACGGACGGUCAAACGUUGGACACAGANNNN